This 598-nucleotide ribosomal RNA is filed under the name Sphingomonas sp. SBR13. Its description in RNAcentral is "bacterial SSU rRNA". It matches the Rfam family "Bacterial small subunit ribosomal RNA", at positions 92 to 722 of the family's 1533-position model. Lineage: Bacteria; Pseudomonadati; Pseudomonadota; Alphaproteobacteria; Sphingomonadales; Sphingomonadaceae. The record is from RNAcentral.
UUAGUGGCGCACGGGUGCGUAACGCGUGGGAAUCUACCCUUGGGUUCGGAAUAACAGUUAGAAAUGACUGCUAAUACCGGAUGAUGACGUAAGUCCAAAGAUUUAUCGCCCAAGGAUGAGCCCGCGUAGGAUUAGCUAGUUGGUGAGGUAAAGGCUCACCAAGGCGACGAUCCUUAGCUGGUCUGAGAGGAUGAUCAGCCACACUGGGACUGAGACACGGCCCAGACUCCUACGGGAGGCAGCAGUGGGGAAUAUUGGACAAUGGGCGAAAGCCUGAUCCAGCAAUGCCGCGUGAGUGAUGAAGGCCUUAGGGUUGUAAAGCUCUUUUACCCGGGAUGAUAAUGACAGUACCGGGAGAAUAAGCUCCGGCUAACUCCGUGCCAGCAGCCGCGGUAAUACGGAGGGAGCUAGCGUUGUUCGGAAUUACUGGGCGUAAAGCGCACGUAGGCGGCUUUGUAAGUUAGAGGUGAAAGCCUGGAGCUUAACUCCAGAACUGCCUUUAAGACUGCAUCGCUUGAAUCCAGGAGAGGUGAGUGGAAUUCCGAGUGUAGAGGUGAAAUUCGUAAAUAUUCGGAAGAACACCAGGUGGCGGAAAGGC